UGAAUGCUAACGGUAUGCUUAACACAUGCAAGUCGAACGAAAUUUUUUAAUUUAGUGGCGUCCGGGUGAGUAAUAUAUAAGAAUGUUUAUUUUAAUUUUUGAUUAAAUACAAAAACUAAAAAAUUAAAAAAAUAAAGAUUUAAAUUAAUUUUUAAAAGAUACUAUUUUGUUAAAAAUAACAGCUUAUAUUAGAUUAGAAAUUAAUAAAUAUAAAAACUUAAUUAAGUCUAAGAUCUAUAAUUGGUUUUAGAGAAUGAUCAAUCACAUUGGGAAUGAAAAGGACCCAACUUUGAAAGAAGCUGCAGUGGGGAAUUUUGGACAAUGAGCGCAAGCUUGAUCCAGCAAUACCGUUUAAAUGAAGAAGGUUUUUACCGUAAAGUUUAUAUGUUAAUAAAUAUAAUGA
This 403-nucleotide ribosomal RNA is filed under the name uncultured eubacterium TRB2. RNAcentral describes it as "partial 16S ribosomal RNA". It matches the Rfam family "Bacterial small subunit ribosomal RNA", at positions 30 to 454 of the family's 1533-position model. The record is from RNAcentral.